GAAAUGACUGCUAAUACCGCAUAAGACCACGGUACUGCAUGGUACAGUGGUAAAAACUCCGGUGGUAUGAGAUGGACCCGCGUCUGAUUAGCUAGUUGGUGGGGUAACGGCCUACCAAGGCGACGAUCAGUAGCCGACCUGAGAGGGUGACCGGCCACAUUGGGACUGAGACACGGCCCAAACUCCUACGGGAGGCAGCAGUGGGGAAUAUUGCACAAUGGGGGAAACCCUGAUGCAGCGACGCCGCGUGAAGGAUGAAGUAUUUCGGUAUGUAAACUUCUAUCAGCAGGGAAGAAAAUGACGGUACCUGACUAAGAAGCCCCGGCUAACUACGUGCCAGCAGCCGCGGUAAUACGUAGGGGGCAAGCGUUGUCCGGAAUUAUUGGGUUUAAAGGGUGCGUAGGCGGUUUGAUAAGUUAGGGGUGAAAUUUCGGGGCUCAACCCUGAACGUGCCUCUAAUACUGUUGAGCUAGAGAGUAGUUGCGGUAGGCGGAAUGUAUGGUGUAGCGGUGAAAUGCUUAGAGAUCAUACAGAACACCGAUUGCGAAGGCAGCUUACCAAACUAUAUCUGACGUUGAGGCACGAAAGCGUGGGGAGCAAACAGGAUUAGAUACCCUGGUAGUCCACGCAGUAAACGAUGAUAACUCGUUGUCGGCGAUACACAGUCGGUGACUAAGCGAAAGCGAUAAGUUAUCCACCUGGGGAGUACG
RNAcentral lists this ribosomal RNA (710 nucleotides) under uncultured bacterium. Its description in RNAcentral is "bacterial SSU rRNA". It matches the Rfam family "Bacterial small subunit ribosomal RNA", at positions 153 to 884 of the family's 1533-position model. The record is from RNAcentral.